This 379-nucleotide ribosomal RNA is filed under the name uncultured eukaryote. RNAcentral's name for it is "partial 18S ribosomal RNA". It matches the Rfam family "Eukaryotic small subunit ribosomal RNA", at positions 592 to 976 of the family's 1831-position model. The record is from RNAcentral.
CAAUAGCGUAUAUUUAAGUUGUUGCAGUUAAAAAGCUCGUAGUUGGAUUUCGGGUAGGAUUUGCCGGUCCGUCUUUGAGAUGUGUACUGGUAAGUCCUAUCUUCUUGUCGGGGACCAGCUCCUGGGCUUCACUGUCCGGGACUGGGAGCCGACGAAGUUACUUUGAGUAAAUUAGAGUGUUCAAAGCAAGCCUACGCUCUGAAUAUAUUAGCAUGGAAUAACACGAUAGGACUCUGGCUUAUCUUGUUGGUCUGUGAGACCAGAGUAAUGAUUAAGAGGGACAGUCGGGGACAUUCGUAUUUCAUUGUCAGAGGUGAAAUUCUUGGAUUUAUGAAAGACAAACUGCUGCGAAAGCGUCUGCCAAGGAUGUUUUCAUUGA